RNAcentral lists this long non-coding RNA (450 nucleotides) under Elaeis guineensis (African oil palm). RNAcentral describes it as "long non-coding RNA (EGUI_LNC045241)". The record is from RNAcentral. Lineage: Eukaryota; Viridiplantae; Streptophyta; Magnoliopsida; Arecales; Arecaceae.
UACCUUUCUUAUCUCCUUGUCUUCCUUAAAUCUCUUCCUAGGCCCUUGUCCUAAAAUUGAACUUGUCUAUACUACUUUUUGACUUAUCCUAAUAAGAGAAGAAAGAGACUAAUUGGACAAUAGAGAGAGGGUGUGAGAAAGAAGAGAUAGAAUUAGAAAUCUGAAUGAACAAAUCUCCGACACAACCCCCCUUAAAUAGUUAGCGACCGGAUGCAUUCAGAUUUGACUCGCACCAACUCUACACGUCAUCUAGUGCCCAUCCAGAUUAUCUCAUACUCCAAGUUAAAAUCCCGUGCCCAUCUGAAAGCAUUUGACACAUGACAAACAUCGAAAAAAGAAUUCGAGAGAUGCUUCGCACAAAAAGACUCUUCAGAAUAAUUUUUUCGAUGUUUCUUUGAUAUGUCACGAGGCUUCACUGGGCACAAUUUUUCUCCACUACUCAUCAGCAAU